Brachypodium distachyon (stiff brome) is the source of this 754-nucleotide long non-coding RNA. RefSeq lists it as uncharacterized. The transcript is spliced from 2 exons. The record is from RefSeq and is a predicted model, not a curated record. NCBI's taxonomy places the organism in Eukaryota, Viridiplantae, Streptophyta, Magnoliopsida, Poales, Poaceae.
CCCAUUUCCUUCCUCUCUGCCGCCGCCACCUCCUCCCCCUUCUCUUCUCCACUGGCCCGAGCGCCUUCCCCCUUCUCUUUGCAACUGCGAGCUUGUCCCCCCGGUCUUCUCUUCUCUCCUUGCUCCAGUCGACCGGCCGCCGCCACCUCCCUCCCGAUCUCCCUCGCCCCCCACUCCUCUCCAUCUCCAGCCAUCUCACCCGCCCCCACUCCUCUCUGUCUCACCCGUGGGCGCGCCUCCUGUCUCACCCGACCACGACGCCACACCGCAAGGGAGCGUCGGGCUCGACCCCGCGCGCGGCCGGAUUCGGCGCCCCCAACCCUGACCGCCUUGGAUCCGGCGUCCCCUACCCCGGUGGCCGCUAGAUCCCCGACCCCGACCAUUGCCGCCGGCGUCUCCGAUCCGGGUAGCGCCAUGGAGUCCCGGCCAUGGAGUCAUGGAGUCGCGAGCAGCGCCAUGGAGUCCCAGCCGCCGCCGUUGUGGUGUGGUAUGGUGUCUGCCACCGCCGCCAUGGAGACGAGGGUGCGCCUCCACGUUCGUCCCCGACGUCGACUUUGGCCUGCAAUGGAUUUGUCUUUUUUUUAUCUGUAUGCAUCUGUCCUCCGGUGAUUUGCUAUUGUACGGUGUCCAAAAUCCGGAUUCUUUGCUUACCUAUUUGUUGUGAUUUGUUGCAUCAUUUGGUUAAUUAGUUAGAUUUGCGAUUUGGAGAAUCGAUGAACGUGAGGGCCGGGAGGGCCAUUUCUUUUUUUUUCUU